Molecule: ribosomal RNA, 1584 nt
Filed under: bioreactor metagenome
Description: bacterial LSU rRNA
Rfam family: Bacterial large subunit ribosomal RNA
Source: RNAcentral
UUGAUCUGCCCAGGGUAAGUCGGGGCCUAAGGCGAGGCCGACAGGCGUAGUCGAUGGAUAACCGGUUGAUAUUCCGGUACCCGCCGUGGAGCGUCAAACAUUGAAUCUGGUGAUGCUAAGCCCGUGAAGCCGUUCUGGACCCUUCGGGGGAAGGAAAGUGGUGGAGCCGGUGGCCCAGGCUGGUAGUAGGUGAGUGAUGGGGUGACGCAGGAAGGUAGUCCAUCCCGGGUGGUGGUUGUCCCGGGGUAAGGGUGUAGGGCGUUGGGUAGGUAAAUCCGCCUGACUUGUGGCCUGAGGCCUGAUGCCGAGCCGAUUGUGGUGAAGUGGAUGAUCCUAUGCUGUCGAGAAAAGCCUCUAGCGAGUUUUGUGGCGGCCCGUACCCUAAACCGACUCAGGUGGUCUGGUAGAGAAUACUGAGGCGUUCGGGUGAACUAUGGUUAAGGAACUCGGCAAAAUGCCCCCGUAACUUCGGGAGAAGGGGGGCCAUUCCUGGUGAGCAUCUGUGCGGUGUGAGCUGGGGGUGGCCGCAGAGACCAGCGAGAAGCGACUGUUUACUAAAAACACAGGUCCGUGCGAAGCUGUAAGGCGAUGUAUACGGACUGACGCCUGCCCGGUGCUGGAACGUUAAGGGGACCGGUUAGCUGGGGUUUCGAUUCUGGCGAGGCUGAGAACUUAAGCGCCAGUAAACGGCGGUGGUAACUAUAACCAUCCUAAGGUAGCGAAAUUCCUUGUCGGGUAAGUUCCGACCUGCACGAAUGGCGUAACGACUUCUCGGCUGUCUCAACCAUAGGCCCGGUGAAAUUGCAGUACGAGUAAAGAUGCUCGUUUCGCGCAGCAGGACGGAAAGACCCCGGGACCUUUACUAUAGUUUGAUAUUGGUGUUCGGUUCGGCUUGUGUAGGAUAGGUGGGAGACUGUGAAGCGUUCACGCUAGUGGGUGUGGAGUCGUUGUUGAAAUACCACUCUGGUCGUGCUGGAUGUCUAACCUGGGUCCGUGAUCCGGAUCGGGGACAGUGUCUGAUGGGUAGUUUAACUGGGGCGGUUGCCUCCUAAAGGGUAACGGAGGCGCCCAAAGGUUCCCUCAGCCUGGUUGGUAAUCAGGUGGUGAGUGUAAGUGCACAAGGGAGCUUGACUGUGAGACUGACGGGUCGAGCAGGUGCGAAAGCAGGGACUAGUGAUCCGGCAGUGGCGUGUGGAAGCGCUGUCGCUCAACGGAUAAAAGGUACCCCGGGGAUAACAGGCUGAUCUUCCCCAAGAGUCCAUAUCGACGGGAUGGUUUGGCACCUCGAUGUCGGCUCGUCGCAUCCUGGGGCUGGAGUCGGUCCCAAGGGUUGGGCUGUUCGCCCAUUAAAGCGGUACGCGAGCUGGGUUUAGAACGUCGUGAGACAGUUCGGUCCCUAUCCGCUGUGCGCGUUGGAGUCUUGAGAAGGGCUGUCCCUAGUACGAGAGGACCGGGACGGACGGACCUCUGGUGUGCCAGUUGUUCUGCCAAGGGCAUGGCUGGUUGGCUACGUUCGGGAGGGAUAACCGCUGAAAGCAUCUAAGCGGGAAGCCUGCUUCGAGAUGAGGACUCCUGCCCACUUGA